Molecule: ribosomal RNA, 497 nt
Filed under: uncultured bacterium
Lineage: Bacteria
Description: partial 16S ribosomal RNA
Rfam family: Bacterial small subunit ribosomal RNA
Source: RNAcentral
GAUGAACGCUGGCGGCGUGCCUAAUACAUGCAAGUCGAGCGAACGGACGAGAAGCUUGCUUCUCUGAUGUUAGCGGCGGACGGGUGAGUAACACGUGGAUAACCUCCCUAUAAGACUGGGAUAACUUCGGGAAACCGGAGCUAAUACCGGCUAAUAUUUUGAACCGCAUGGUUCAAAAGUGAAAGACGGUCUUGCUGUCACUUAUAGAUGGAUCCGCGCUGCAUUAGCUAGUUGGUAAGGUAACGGCUUACCAAGGCAACGAUGCAUAGCCGACCUGAGAGGGUGAUCGGCCACACUGGAACUGAGACACGGUCCAGACUCCUACGGGAGGCAGCAGUAGGGAAUCUUCCGCAAUGGGCGAAAGCCUGACGGAGCAACGCCGCGUGAGUGAUGAAGGUCUUCGGAUCGUAAAACUCUGUUAUUAGGGAAGAACAUAUGUGUAAGUAACUGUGCACAUCUUGACGGUACCUAAUCAGAAAGCCACGGCUAACUACGUG